RNAcentral lists this long non-coding RNA (851 nucleotides) under Citrus x clementina. RNAcentral's name for it is "Citrus clementina (C. clementina) long non-coding RNA (CCLE_LNC005930)". The record is from RNAcentral. Lineage: Eukaryota; Viridiplantae; Streptophyta; Magnoliopsida; Sapindales; Rutaceae.
GUCCGCCGGACUCGGAAUGGGGCGAGACUUUGCGAGGGGCCUCGGGGUGCCAAAAAUAAGCCGCGGGCAAAGCCGCGCCCAAAAAUAAGCGCCCGAAGGCCGUGGUGCCAAAACCCCCCAGCGGAAAAAUGGCCAAAAAACGGGUGGGCUAUAGACUUGGUGGGGGGCGCGGGCGAAGUUCGUCCGCCGGACUCGGAAUGGGGCGAGACUUUGCGAGGGGCCUCGGGGUGCCAAAAAUAAGCCGCGGGCAAAGCCGCGCCCAAAAAUAAGCGCCCGAAGGUCGUGGUGCCAAAACCCCCCAGCGGAAAAAUGGCCAAAAAACGGGUGGGCGAUAGCCUUGGUGGGGGGCGCGGGCGAAGUUCGUCCGCCGGACUCGGAAUGGGGCGAGACUUUGCGAGGGGCCUCGGGGUGCCAAAAAUAAGCCGCGGGCGAAGCCGCGCCCGAAGGUCGUGGUGCCAAAACCCCCCAGCGGAAAAAUGGCCAAAAAACGGGUGGGCUAUAGCCUUGGUGGGGGGCGCGGGCGAAGUUCGUCCGCCGGACUCGGAAUGGGGCGAGACUUUGCGAGGGGCCUCGGGGUGCCAAAAAUAAGCCGCGGGCAAAGCCGCGCCCAAAAAUAAGCGCCCGAAGGUCGUGGUGCCAAAACCUCCCAGCGGAAAAAUGGCCAAAAAACGGGUGGGCUAUAGCCUUGGUGGGGGGCGCGGGCGAAGUUCGUCCGCCGGACUCGGAAUGGGGCGAGACUUUGCGAGGGGCCUCGGGGUGCCAAAAAUAAGCCGCGGGCAAAGCCGCGCCCAAAAAUAAGCGCCCGAAGGCCGUGGUGCCAAAACCCCCCAGCGGAAAAAUGGCCCAAAAAC